This 26-nucleotide unclassified non-coding RNA is filed under the name Trypanosoma avium. Lineage: Eukaryota; Euglenozoa; Kinetoplastea; Trypanosomatida; Trypanosomatidae. The record is from RNAcentral.
UCUUUUUUUUUUUUUUUAUUUUUUUU